GGGCCGUUAGCUCAGCCGGUAGAGCACCUGCCUUUUAAGUAGGGGGUCGCAAGUUCGAGUCUUGCACGGCUCA
Molecule: transfer RNA, 73 nt
Filed under: Caldisericia bacterium
Lineage: Bacteria; Pseudomonadati; Caldisericota; Caldisericia
Description: tRNA-Lys
Rfam family: tRNA
About the family: Transfer RNA (tRNA) molecules are approximately 80 nucleotides in length. Their secondary structure includes four short double-helical elements and three loops (D, anti-codon, and T loops).
Source: RNAcentral